Molecule: long non-coding RNA, 739 nt
Filed under: Equus caballus (horse)
Lineage: Eukaryota; Metazoa; Chordata; Mammalia; Perissodactyla; Equidae
Description: lncRNA (ENSECAG00000050398.1)
Source: RNAcentral
CUUGCUUUCAGAGCCCCAGACCUCUAGGUAAGAAGUCUGACCACAUGAGGCCACCAUGCUAUAAGGAAGCCGAAGCCGCAUGGAGAGAUUGUGACUGCUUUGUGCUACGAAGGCAAAGACUGAAAUGUUUGCAGUCUGGCCCUUUACUGAAUAAAUUUGCUGCUCUCUGGUCUAGAUGUGUGUCUCCCCCCGAAUGAGCCAGGGAGAAGACAUGGCGUGACCCAUGUACUUACCUAGUUUGAAUCAGCAGCUCACCUGGUCCUUCCUGUUUUUGAGGCCCUCCUGUCCCUGUUGACAUUCCAUUGGGUCCCCUUCUCUACAAGCCUGAGAGAAUUACAGGAGUCUAAGCAGUCUCCUGAGACCUGGUUUACUGCUGUAACCCUGAAGAUGGCAUACUGGCAAUCCUUGAAUCGCAUCGUGAGGGUCUCAGGAGUUCCCAGGCUCCAGGAAAGUGGGUGCAGAGGCAGGAAGAACAUUUGCCUCUCCAGGCUAUUAUUAUUGAUUGAUGUUUCACCUAGGGCAUCCUCAAAGGAAGUUUUUCCUUUUCAUCUCACUGGAGCUCAUAAGGACUUGGAUCGCCAAAUGAGGAUUCCAUCAUAUAUUCAAGAGCCAAGGGGGUGGUUCGUGAGGAUUCAUCCACAACCACGGCCCCGUGACCCCAGGGCUGAGACAAUGCUUGGCAGAACCAAGCAAAGCUACCUGACCCCACAGGAGCUUGCAAAAUUAACCUUGCAUUUCC